UACGUAGGGGGCGAGCGUUGUCCGGAUUUAUUGGGCGUAAAGAGCUCGUAGGCGGCUUAGCAAGUCGGGUGUGAAAACUCCAGGCUCAACCUGGAGACGCCACUCGAGACUGCUAUGGCUAGAGUCCGGUAGGGGACCACGGAAUUCCUGGUGUAGCGGUGAAAUGCGCAGAUAUCAGGAGGAACACCGGUGGCGAAGGCGGUGGUCUGGGCCGGCACUGACGCUGAGGAGCGAAAGCUAGGGGAGCAAACGGG
RNAcentral lists this ribosomal RNA (254 nucleotides) under uncultured bacterium. RNAcentral describes it as "partial 16S ribosomal RNA". It matches the Rfam family "Bacterial small subunit ribosomal RNA", at positions 524 to 776 of the family's 1533-position model. The record is from RNAcentral.